GGAUUGUAGCUCAGUGGUAGAGCACUUGCCUAGCAUGUGUGAAGUGCUGGGAUAGAUCCUCAGCACCA
RNAcentral lists this transfer RNA (68 nucleotides) under Marmota monax (woodchuck). RNAcentral describes it as "tRNA.Ala". The record is from RNAcentral. Lineage: Eukaryota; Metazoa; Chordata; Mammalia; Rodentia; Sciuridae.